This 497-nucleotide ribosomal RNA is filed under the name uncultured bacterium. Its description in RNAcentral is "partial 16S ribosomal RNA". It matches the Rfam family "Bacterial small subunit ribosomal RNA", at positions 28 to 507 of the family's 1533-position model. The record is from RNAcentral.
GAUGAACGCUGGCGGCGUGCCUAAUACAUGCAAGUCGAGCGAACGGACGAGAAGCUUGCUUCUCUGAUGUUAGCGGCGGACGGGUGAGUAACACGUGGAUAACCUACCUAUAAGACUGGGAUAACUUCGGGAAACCGGAGCUAAUACCGGAUGAUAUUUUGAACCGCAUGGUUCAAAAGUGAAAGACGGUCUUGCUGUCACUUAUAGAUGGAUCCGCGCUGCAUUAGCUAGUUGGUAAGGUAACGGCUUACCAAGGCAACGAUGCAUAGCCGACCUGAGAGGGUUAUCGGCCACACUGGAACUGAGACACGGUCCAGACUCCUACGGGAGGCAGCAGUAGGGAAUCUUCCGCAAUGGGCGAAAGCCUGACGGAGCAACGCCGCGUGAGUGAUGAAGGUCUUCGGAUCGUAAAACUCUGUUAUUAGGGAAGAACAUAUGUGUAAGUAACUGUGCACAUCUUGACGGUACCUAAUCAGAAAGCCACGGCUAACUACGUG